This 493-nucleotide ribosomal RNA is filed under the name uncultured bacterium. RNAcentral's name for it is "partial 16S ribosomal RNA". It matches the Rfam family "Bacterial small subunit ribosomal RNA", at positions 28 to 507 of the family's 1533-position model. The record is from RNAcentral.
GACGAACGCUGGCGGUGUGCCUAACACAUGCAAGUGGAGCGAAGAACCAGAGCUUGCUCUGGGCCAACGCCGCGAACGGGCGAGUAACACACGCGUAAUCUACCCCCCUGAACGGCACAGACCGCUACAACUCGCGCUAAUACCUGACGUGGUGCAUAUUCAUAAGUCUCUUCACUUAAGGUAGCUCCGGCUUCCGCAUUGGUAUGGGCCCGCGGCCCAUUAGCUAGUUGGUUGGGUCAAGGCCUACCAAGGCAACGAUGGGUAGCUGGCCUGAGAGGGCGAUCAGCCACACUGGAACUGAGACACGGCCCAGACUCCUACGGGAGGCAGCAGUAGGGAAUCUUGCGCAAUGGGCGAAAGCCUGACGCAGCAACGCCGCGUGAGGGAAGAAGGCCUUAGGGUUGUAAACCUCUUUCAGUUGGGAAGAAGGUAUUCCGGUGUAUCGACGCGAGGCUUGACGGUACCGUAAGAAGAAGCCCCGGCUAACUACGUG